RNAcentral lists this ribosomal RNA (483 nucleotides) under uncultured bacterium. RNAcentral describes it as "bacterial SSU rRNA". It matches the Rfam family "Bacterial small subunit ribosomal RNA", at positions 30 to 507 of the family's 1533-position model. The record is from RNAcentral.
UUGAACGCUGGCGGCAGGCCUAACACAUGCAAGUCGAGCGGUAGAGAGGUGCUUGCAUCUCUUGAGAGCGGCGGACGGGUGAGUAAUGCCUAGGAAUCUGCCUAGUGGUGGGGGAUAACGUUCGGAAACGGACGCUAAUACCGCAUACGUCCUACGGGAGAAAGCGGGGGAUCUUCGGACCUCGCGCCAUUAGAUGAGCCUAGGUCAGAUUAGCUAGUUGGUGAGGUAAUGGCUCACCAAGGCGACGAUCCGUAACUGGUCUGAGAGGAUGAUCAGUCACACUGGAACUGAGACACGGUCCAGACUCCUACGGGAGGCAGCAGUGGGGAAUAUUGGACAAUGGGCGAAAGCCUGAUCCAGCCAUGCCGCGUGUGUGAAGAAGGUCUUCGGAUUGUAAAGCACUUUAAGUUGGGAGGAAGGGUAGUAACCUAAUACGUUGCUACUUUGACGUUACCGACAGAAUAAGCACCGGCUAACUUCGUG